CGUGAAUAUAAGCAAUUAUAGAUCACCAUACGGCCUUCAACAAUGCAAACAAUCUAUAUUGUAUUUUCAUACGAUAUUCCCGCGCUUGUAUUUCCUUUCAUAAUUUCCUUGAUAGAAGGUUGCUGCUUACAAGUAAGCUAUUAAACCAAGAGUUCCAAAAGGUGAAUUUGAAAUCAUCCCUUCGUAAAUUUUACGGACGCCAUCACGAGUUGGUUAGACGUUAUGGAAUAACCGUUUCAAAGAUGAUAUCGUAUAUGUUUC
Molecule: long non-coding RNA, 261 nt
Filed under: Mytilus galloprovincialis (Mediterranean mussel)
Lineage: Eukaryota; Metazoa; Mollusca; Bivalvia; Mytilida; Mytilidae
Source: RNAcentral